GGACCCGCACAAGCGGUGGAGCAUGUGGUUUAAUUCGAUGCAACGCGAAAAACCUUACCUACAAUUGACAUACUGCGAAUUUUCUAGAGAUAGAUUAGUGCCUUCGGGAACGCAGAUACAGGUGCUGCAUGGCUGUCGUCAGCUCGUGUCGUGAGAUGUUGGGUUAAGUCCUAUAACGAGCGCAACCCUUACCCUUAUUUGCCAGCGGUUCGGCCGGGAACUAUAAGGGAACUGCCGGUAAUAAGCCGGAGGAAGGUGGGGACGACGUCAAGUCAUCAUGGCCCUUACAUGUAGGGCUACACACGUGCUACAAUGGGAGAUACAAACGGUUGCCAAAGCGCGAGCUGGAGCUAAUCCGAGAAAGUCUCUCGUAGUCCGAAUUGCAGUCUGCAACUCGACUCCGUGAAGUCGGAAUUGCUAGUAAUCG
This 427-nucleotide ribosomal RNA is filed under the name uncultured bacterium. Its description in RNAcentral is "bacterial SSU rRNA". It matches the Rfam family "Bacterial small subunit ribosomal RNA", at positions 917 to 1344 of the family's 1533-position model. The record is from RNAcentral.